This 220-nucleotide ribosomal RNA is filed under the name uncultured bacterium. RNAcentral's name for it is "partial 16S ribosomal RNA". It matches the Rfam family "Bacterial small subunit ribosomal RNA", at positions 57 to 305 of the family's 1533-position model. The record is from RNAcentral.
GCAAGUCGAGCGAGACCUUCGGGUCUAGCGGCGGACGGGUGAGUAACGCGUGGGAACGUGCCCUUCACUGCGGAAUAGCCACUGGAAACGGUGAGUAAUACCGCAUACGCCCUUCGGGGGAAAGAUUUAUCGGUGAAGGAUCGGCCCGCGUCUGAUUAGGUAGUUGGUGGGGUAAUGGCCUACCAAGUCUACGAUCUAUAGCUGGUUUUAGAGGAUGAUC